This 2259-nucleotide ribosomal RNA is filed under the name human oral metagenome. RNAcentral describes it as "bacterial LSU rRNA". It matches the Rfam family "Bacterial large subunit ribosomal RNA", at positions 836 to 2925 of the family's 2925-position model. The record is from RNAcentral.
AACUCCGUGAUAGCUGGUUCUCCCCGAAAUGCAUUUAGGUGCAGCGUUGCGUGGUCCCUGGUGGAGGUAGAGCUACUGGAUGGCCGAUGGGCCCUGUGGGUUACUGACGUCAGCCAAACUCCGAAUGCCAUUAGGUGUAGCGUGGCAGUGAGACUGCGGGGGAUAAGCUUCGUAGUCGAGAGGGAAACAGCCCAGAUCAUCAGCUAAGGCCCCUAAGCGUGCGCUAAGUGGGAAAGGAUGUGGAGUCGCGGUGACAACCAGGAGGUUGGCUUAGAAGCAGCCAUCCUUGAAAGAGUGCGUAAUAGCUCACUGGUCAAGUGGUUCUGCGCCGACAAUGUAGCGGGGCUCAAGCGUACCGCCGAAGCUGUGGCAACAACGCGUUUGUGCUGGCGCCAGGAACUGGAGUGCUGGUGUGUUGUUGGGUAGGGGAGCGUCCUGCACGAGGUGAAGCCUGGAGGUGACUUCUGGUGGAUUGUGUGGGAGUGAGAAUGCAGGCAUGAGUAACGAAUCUGCGGUGAGAAUCCGCAGCGCCGAUUGACUAAGGGUUCCAGGGCUAGGUUUAUCCGCCCUGGGUUAGUCGGGUCCUAAGGCGAGGCCGACAGGCGUAGUCGAUGGACAACCAGUUGAUAUUCUGGUACCAGGUUGUGACCGCCCAUGCUGAGGUCAUUGUGCUAACCAAUUUGCCCGCGCCUCCACAUAACCUUCGGGUUGCGUGGUGUGUGUGGGUCUUGGGGUCCCGGUGAUGGUAGGCAAGCGUGUUAACAGGGGUGACGCAGACAGGUAACUGCAGUGCGCCGAUGGUUGUGCGUAUUUAAGGUUGUGGCCCGCCCUUUAGGUAAAUCCGGGGGGCACUAGGGUGAGGACUGAUGAGGGACACACGUGUGUGUGGACUUGUGGUGAUCCUAUGCUGCCGAGAAAAGCCUCGACGUGAGGGCAUGACCUGCCCGUACCCUAAACCGACUCAGGUGGUCAGGUAGAGUAUACCGAGGCGUUCGAGUGAAUCGUGGUUAAGGAACUCGGCAAAAUUCCUCCGUAACUUCGGGAUAAGGAGGACCCCGUGACUUCCCAAUGCUUUGCGUGUUGGUGGGGUUGUGGGGUCGCAGAGAAUAGGGAGAAGCGACUGUUUAUCAAAAACACAGGUGCGUGCGAAGCCGUAAGGCGAUGUAUACGCACUGACGCCUGCCCGGUGCUGGAAGGUUAAGAGGAACCGUCAACACUCCUUUGGGGUGUGAAGCGGUGAAUUUAAGCCCCAGUAAACGGCGGUGGUAACUAUAACCAUCCUAAGGUAGCGAAAUUCCUUGUCGGGUAAGUUCCGACCUGCACGAAUGGCGUAACGACUUCUCCGCUGUCUCAACCGCGAACUCGGUGAAAUUGCAGUACGAGUAAAGAUGCUCGUUUCGCGCAGAAGGACGGAAAGACCCCGGGACCUUUACUAUAGCUUGGUAUUGGUGUUCGCUUGGACUUGUGUAGGAUAGGUGGGAGACUGUGAAGCUGCCGCGCCAGCGGUGGUGGAGUCGUCGUUGAAAUACCAUUCUGGUUCAAGCGGUCACCUUAACCUUGGCCCGUGAUCCGGGUUGGGGACAGUGCCUGGUGGGUAGUUUAACUGGGGCGGUUGCCUCCUAAAAUGUAACGGAGGCGCUCAAAGGUUCCCUCAGCCUGGUUGGUAAUCAGGUGGCGAGUGCAAGUGUACAAGGGAGCUUGACUGUGAGACCGACGGGUCGAGCAGGUGCGAAAGCAGGAACUAGUGAUCCGGCCAUGGCACGUGGGUGCGUGGUCGCUCAACGGAUAAAAGGUACCCCGGGGAUAACAGGCUGAUCUUGCCCAAGAGUCCAUAUCGACGGCAUGGUUUGGCACCUCGAUGUCGGCUCGUCGCAUCCUGGGGCUGGAGUCGGUCCCAAGGGUUGGGCUGUUCGCCCAUUAAAGCGGUACGCGAGCUGGGUUCAGAACGUCGUGAGACAGUUCGGUCCCUAUCCGCUGCGCGCGUUGGAAAUUUGAGAAAGGCUGUCCUUAGUACGAGAGGACCGGGACGGACGAACCUCUGGUAUGUCAGUUGUACCGCCAGGUGCAUGGCUGAUUGGCUACGUUCGGGAGGGAUAACCGCUGAAAGCAUCUAAGCGGGAAGCUUGUUUCGUGAUGAGUUCUCCUGGCCCCCUGUGUGGGGUGUGAGGUUCCCUGUAGAUGACGGGGUUGAUAGGCCGGGUAUGGAAGCGCUGUAAGGUGUGGAGUUGACUGGUACUAAUAGACCGAAGGCUUACAUUA